GAAGAGAUAAGAGGCGCGCGUUUAGAGAUGGAGGUGCAAGAAGAAAGUGAAGAAAUGGUGUGUAGCUUUGCAAAGUUGUUUUUUUUUUUUGGAAUUGGAGAGGCGAAAUAGACAGCUUUGCAAAGUUGUCUCCCAGAUGAUAUUGCCCUCAAAAUCGCCUCUUCCCUUCAGCUAUCAGAUGUGUGUUCGUUGGGUAGUUGCUCGUGGUUCAGCAUGCAGCUCAUCUGGAUUUGGACACAUCCACGUCUUUCUUUGGUGUUUAUGAUGGCCAUAGAGGUGGUGUGACUUUCCUUACAUAGUUUGGGGCAAGAGGUGAAGCAACUCUCUGACCUCAGGUGACUUCCAAAAACGAUCAAGCACAAGGCUGAUGCUUCAAAACCAUAUAUAUUCCUUCCUGUGUAGAAUGUUUUUUGGAUUCCUUCAUUGAUUCUCCUUUUAAUUUUUGUUCAAUUACUUAUUGGUUUUCAAUGGAUGGAUGUUUAAAACUUGUCUCAAUUAAUGUUUUGAAUGGAAUGAUUGUAAAGUUUGGGAUUGAGCAGGAAAAUAUGAUGAAUUUUAAUGUUAUAUUUAGGUUGGGUUGAA
This is a non-coding RNA of Camellia sinensis, 582 nucleotides long. The record is from RefSeq and is a predicted model, not a curated record. Lineage: Eukaryota; Viridiplantae; Streptophyta; Magnoliopsida; Ericales; Theaceae.